AUUGAACGCUGGCGGCAUGCCUUACACAUGCAAGUCGAACGGCAGCACGGGUGCUUGCCCCUGGUGGCGAGUGGCGAACGGGUGAGUAAUACAUCGGAACAUGUCCUGUAGUGGGGGAUAGCCCGGCGAAAGCCGGAUUAAUACCGCAUACGAUCUACGGAUGAAAGCGGGGGACCUUCGGGCCUCGCGCUAUAGGGUUGGCCGAUGGCUGAUUAGCUAGUUGGUGGGGUAAAGGCCUACCAAGGCGACGAUCAGUAGCUGGUCUGAGAGGACGACCAGCCACACUGGGACUGAGACACGGCCCAGACUCCUACGGGAGACAGCAGUGGGGAAUUUUGGACAAUGGGCGAAAGCCUGAUCCAGCAAUGCCGCGUGUGUGAAGAAGGCCUUCGGGUUGUAAAGCACUUUUGUCCGGAAAGAAAUCCUUGGCCCUAAUACGGUCGGGGGAUGACGGUACCGGAAGAAUAAGCACCGGCUAACUACGUG
Molecule: ribosomal RNA, 486 nt
Filed under: uncultured bacterium
Lineage: Bacteria
Description: partial 16S ribosomal RNA
Rfam family: Bacterial small subunit ribosomal RNA
Source: RNAcentral